GGUCAUCUGGUCGAUUUUUGAAUAAAUCUUCAUUUCAUUUCAUUUGGCCAAUUCACCCAUUUUUAGGGCAAUCUAGUCGAUUUUCUGAAUAAAUCACCAAUUUUUCCAUUCUUAGGGCGAUCUUAUCGAUUUCGAGUAAAUCAUUAAUUUCGUCCGAUUCAUUUGACCAGUUUACCCUUUUAGGGCGAUCCGGUCAAUUUUGAAUAAAUUCUCGAUUUCAUUUAAUUCAUUUGACCAAGU
RNAcentral lists this long non-coding RNA (240 nucleotides) under Coffea arabica (coffee). RNAcentral describes it as "long non-coding RNA (CARA_LNC001194)". Lineage: Eukaryota; Viridiplantae; Streptophyta; Magnoliopsida; Gentianales; Rubiaceae. The record is from RNAcentral.